Molecule: small RNA, 28 nt
Filed under: Bombyx mori (domestic silkworm)
Lineage: Eukaryota; Metazoa; Arthropoda; Insecta; Lepidoptera; Bombycidae
Description: ovarian small RNA-37190
Source: RNAcentral
UUCCGACUGAGCACGGUGUCUCCCCGGA